UUUGAAAGAAAAAAAAAAAACAGAAAAAGAAAGAAAAAGAAAAAAAAAUUAUGGAGAGUUGUUCAGCCUCUUUGUUAUGCUGUUCUUGUUUU
This 92-nucleotide non-coding RNA is filed under the name Palpitomonas bilix. The record is from RNAcentral.